GGGGGGGGAUGGAAGCGGGGUGAGCAGCUUGGCCUUUCUCCCUGUCUCUUUCUGUCAUGUGCACCAGGGGGAGUUUUGCGAGGUGUGUGCACACACAUUCACACGCAGGCGUUGGCAGCAAUAAUUUGGUUUCACUUCAAAGAGAAGCGCGGUUGUUCUUCGCUGAUUGGCCCCUCUAAACUAGGGUGGUUAAGGGACCCUGGGAGCUCCGGACCAUUCUCUGCCAAUACCGUGUCGCCGCGUGUGUAGAUAUUUAACAACCAAAAUAACAUUCCCGCUAAUUUAGUCCUGUGGGACAAAUAUUAAUCAAGUUGACAAUAAAUUAAGCGUGCAAGUAAAAACCAGAGGCGAGAGCGACAGUGUGGAUCUCUGUGUUAUAGUGAUGUUGUUAUUCAACCGGAUAAUAAAAAAAUAGCCGAAACAUGUUUAUUUCGCAGAAGCUAGGGACUGUUAGAGCUAUCGCCGUCAGCUUUUCCACUUUCCAAAGGUCUUUGAAUAUGUGAAUGAUGCUCCUCUAAGGAAAUUGACCAAAUCCAAGCUUAAAAUAGUAAUGUUUCAAUAGAUUCCUUUUUCGUAUCUCAUUUCAAAUUCAAAAAAUAAACUAUUUAGACAAACAGUCAGUGAAACCUGGACGGAGAGCAGAGGGCAGGUGUAAAAAUAGUUCAUUAUGUGUCGCUAAUGAGGCGUUUGUUACCAGAUUCCAUUUUAUUACAGCGUUGUGUAUGUGUUUCCUUUAGCGUAAUGUUGAGUACUAAAAUAUAAACAUGAACGCACGCUUACGCUAGAAAGAAAUUACACUAUAAAUGCAUAGUAAUAAUGGGUGAAGGCCGCUUAAAGGCCGGAUUGCACCAACAACAUGUAUUUCAAGUCACAACACCAGCACACGAACAUGUUGCAAAAAGAUGCACCCACUAUCUGGUUCAAAUGCAGUUCAACAGGAACCACCUGUUCCCCGUUUUAAGAAUAACAUGUCCAUACCUAAAACUACGCCUAGCACUCAUAUGCAAAACAUUUUUUUAUUAUUAUUAUUAUCAUCUUGCACACAUCUUGCAAACAUCCUGAUAUGAAGAACUCAUGAACAACAGGAGGCGUGUUGACGCCUAGAGGGAUGGACACCCCUGUGCUUCAAUGGGGCUCUCCGAGGGUUCUAAGCAGGAGCCGCCUCCAUCUUAAUAACCAAUCAAAAAUGCUCUUAGAGACUAUAUAAUUCAAGCGCAUUUUGUAUUAAGCGCCUUCUUUCAUGUUAAACUGCCUGAAAUAGGUCUGUGCACGUUAAAUUGCAGGACAGAAUACUCUUGUUGCAAAGAAACUGGUAUUAGUAAAUUGUCACAUUGCUUUGAGCAAAGUCUCCAGUCUAGUCCUUGUUUUGCUCGCACGACAGUAACCAGUGUCUGAAAAGACAUAAAAUAAGGAACAAAAUACUGGGCUGUGCAUAUUUCAUAAACUAGAUAAUACUGUGAGAGGCUGACAAAACUUUUUCUCUCUGUCAACAUGUCAUGACACACACCCACACUCCCUCCCUGCCACUAGCAGACCGUCAAAUGGGUUGUGUGCAUUUCAGGGAGAAGCAGCCCGGGCUUAAUUACCGCCGUGCUAAGUGAAUCCCAGUGUGAGUGAUGUGCGGGGACAGGACUCUUGGUGACACAAUGAAGAUGAAAUAGUAUUAAGCAGCCAAGUAGAUAAUCCAUUUAGGAAGGUCUGGGAAACGUGACGGAUUAUAUACUCGUUGCAAUACACAUCCAGAGUUGUUUGAAAUCUGAAAUGUUUUCAUUUUCUGCCUCUUUACCAGAGUUAUUAAAAUAGAGAAUAGAAUAGUAAAUACAUGUUUUCCCUCUUACCUGCAGUAGUGUUUUAACAAUGCGUCGACACGUCUGCAAUGUGAUGGGACGAGGCGGUACUCGCCUCGUGAAAAUACAUUUCGAGAACUCGACAGCAAUGUCUCUUUCCAUAAACACGCUGAAGGAAAUCCGCAAAAGUGUCAGUUUAAUGAGAUAUCUCCAAAAGUAGACAACUUGCAGUGAAACUCUUUGGAAUAGUAAAAGAAAAAGCAUCACAGGUUAAAAGAAACACAAUGUUUUGUUGUUGGGAUGAGCUGUUCCUUUAAGUUGAUUUUUAGGAACAGAAUAUUAAAAUAACACAACACUGCCGUUGCUGGCUUAUUGUGCUACAUUUCCUGUAAUGUAGUCGUUGCUGCAAAAUAAGGAGUUAAAUGAACCUUCUGCUUAUUUUUCUUUUGCUUGUCCGUUCCCAGUAACACACACAAAAGGAUCCCUAAAUUAAUUUAUAAUAUUAAUAGAGAUGCAGCCCUUACAAAAUGUCCAGGGGUCUCUGUCACAUAUGUCCCUUGGAAUAAUUCGACAACCCUCUUUCUUUACACACCGUCAGCCUGGUUAGUAAUGUUAAAUAAUACACACGACAAACGCUGCUUAGGCACUGCCCAAUAGGUAAAGAAAGGGGUAAAGCAACAUUUCUUUGUGGAAAUGUACAAAGGUUAUUAUCUUUAUAUUUAAAUAGGAACAACGUGUAUAUAUUCACGUAUCUGUCUUUUACCGUCCACUUUAUCCGCUCUCACCUUUUCUUGCCCCUUCCCUCCUCCCCGUUUGCUCCUCCUAUCAUCUAUUACUCCAACCAUGUCCUCGGCCUUCCAUUCCUCAUCUCCAUGGUCUCUGUCUCUCUCCCUCCAUCUUCUAUCUUUCGGGUCCUCCCUCCAUCUUUCCUCUCAUCCCAAGGCUUCCUCACUCUUUCUCUCUGCUCCAUUUUGGCCCCAGCAGGCUGCAGAUGGAGCUUAAUGGACGCAUAACCAAGCGUAACUGCCUCGUGAAUAAUUUGGCGUGCGCGAGGUGAGCCGUAGGACAGCUCCGUGUGUGGCCACACAGAAAAGUAGACGCACACAGGCAAACUCCAGCGAGUAAACCACGCAACAUGACAGCCAAAACUUUACGGUUCCUCUCUACAAAUUCACGACGAAUCACAGGCACAUUUAGAAAUGUUUGUGUUUUGUUCGACCAGAUUCACGCAGUCAUCUCAAUUAACAUAAGGGCGAACAACUGCGAAGUAAGUUUCAUAGGUGGGACAAAAAGUUCUCAAUAAUGCUGGAAAAGUCCCACCGGUUGAAGAAGAAACUCUGACGAGCCUCGCUAUAGUGAUAUACACUGUAACAAAUUGCUGUAAAUUUACGGUGCAUUUCUAACGGUAUCAGUAUGUCACAAUAACUAACAUUAAAGCUGUCAAUUUACAAUAAUAGCAGACUACCGUAAUUCAACUGCAUGUUACAUAUAUUUUAUGAAGUGAUGGAAAUACACAUACAUGUGCAGUGAAUCACAAUUCAUCUACAGCUUUUUGUAGGUUAAUGUAUGGAAGCCCAUGUCAGCCACUGAAAAACAGGUUCUGUAAGUCAUCAUAAUGAGAUAGUAUCUCAUGAGAUACGAUUAUGACUUUCACUUACAGGACAUUACUAUACAUGCAGCUGUCACUUUUAUCCAAAACGCCCAUGGUUUGACAGAAUUUUAUGUGGAGUAGGCUAAUUGGGGGUUAGGUGUCUUGCUCAGGGACACUUCAACUUGACACAGGGAGCAGCCAGAAUUCAAACCGCCGACCUCGCGCUGCACGGCACACCCUCCCUAUCCCAUGCACCGCCUUCGCUGUUGUUUCAGUGGCCGGAAUGUAAAGAUUAUAAAUAUUUGUAUUAUUCAAAGUGUUCAUUGCCUAAAAGUUUGAGUGUUAAUUGUGACCGACUGCUCCUGAACGUGACAUCAGACGCGUAAUCUCAGUCCAUCCAGAACACCUGUCAGUGCAGUUCAACAUCGGAGGAGUUUCUCAUUGCCUCAUCUCUCCAAGUAAUGUUGGUAAGUGUUAUUUGCCUAGCAUGAUUAACAUUCUCCUUCCUUACAUCUUGUUGUCUUCCUCAACUUUGUAAUUUUAAUAUUUUACCAAUGACAGUGUUUCUAAAUAUUUUAUUUUGGUUUGUUUUACAGAGGCACUGGAUUAAGGACGCCAGCCGUUUGCUGCGGUCAAGUGAAAGUGUUGCAAAGCGAAUUGUUGCAGUUAGUGUACCUUGUUCCUAAUGAUUUUAUGAUUCAUUUUUUUAUUAUUGUAUACAUUUUAUGUUUUGUUUUUGGUUACAAAUGCCUAACAUUUUUUUCUUAAAGGCAUCUAAUAAACUCUAACCACUAUGACCGAAAUGAGUUUGGUUGUCUUUCUUUAAUUUGUUGGGAAUUAAAUGCGGUUAUAAGUACGGUAACAUUCUGGUAUUUAUAACACAAAAACAGUAAUCGUAUGGUAACAAACUGUAAUCCAAUAUACGACAACAUACCGUAAAUUACAGUAGGGCACUGUAAAUAAAACAGUAAGUUACUAGUGUCGACUGCCAGUAAAUUGCUGUUAAUUCACAGUAAAAUUUACGGUAACAUAGUGUAAAAACAAUUUACGGUAUUAUGCCGUAAAAUAACGGUAAAUUCCUGGCGUCCUUGCUGCCAAUAAAAUACUGUUAAUUCACGGUGAAUUUUUUAGAGUGUAGGAACAUUGAAGGUCCUGCAGCAGUCGGAGACAGCAUCUGGCCAGAGGCAAGGCCUGAGCAAUAAGGUUCCUUCAGCCCAUCACCAUCUGCCUUUCCAUGGCCGUCCAAAGAGCUGCAACAGUUUAAGCCAACUAGUCAGCUGACAUGUGGAGAAGCAGCGUGGCGUGGGACGAAGGCGGCUGGUGGUAACGCCAUUAAACGCACGCUGCAGUGCGCCCACACGCAAACAAAGGAACCAAAGCUUUCGCCUCCUUUAUGGGACUUAUGAAACCAAGUCCAUUGCAACAGUAACAGCUUAAGUCAGUCUUACGCAAACUAGGAUUCUACAUUUCAUAUCGGACAGGAUCAAUUUGUGGACUUUCGCUUUCACCUUUUUCCUGCUAUUCAAUGUCAGAACCACAUUGAAUCUAUUUUGAUUUGCAAAACAAUGAAACAGAAUGCUCCAAGGUUGGAGAGUACUUGAGGAAUUGUAUUGUAUUGUAUUGAGGAAAUUGAACUGAAAUCUGGAAUGCCCAUUGAGAUUCAUUAAAAAGGCUGAAUAUGCAGCCCCGGUUCUGUACGGAGCCGGCCCACACACUGGACAACCUCUCGAGGCUCAUCUGGUUUGAUUUAUUGAAAAGACGAUACUGAGAUUGUAUAAAAUGUUGCAGCGUAUUUCCAUGUCGUCCUGUUAAUGUAACAAAACGUGGAGCACUGAUAUUUUUCUCGGAUAUUAAGAAAAGGGAUGAAUAACAGAGGGGAGUUUAUUGCCACGUUCCAUGUAGAUGACGACUUGAGGGUUUUAUUAAUAUGAGACAUCACUUUGAUGUUACAAUGGGAGAUACGCUAACAGUAAUCAACACAUAUUUUUCUAUUUACAUAAAAAUUGUGUCCUUAUUUGUAUCAUCACACUAUAUUCAGGCUCUCUGUGGCGUCUUCUGUGGCUGUUUAUAUGUGGAAAAAAUGAUUACUUCCACACAGCUGAAGCUACCCAUGCCUUUUCCCAGCACCGCUUUCCGAGCCACUCUCCCAAACACGGCCCGCUCAGGGCCAGCUGACCCUUCUCUGCUGUCCUAAACAGCCUCACAAAGUUAUGGCGGUCACAGCGAGGCGGGGCCGGGCCUCCUGCCUGUUUUGUGUGGUAGGGGCUCCAAACUGAGCUCAUCCAGACUCCCCGAUUUCACCUCCCCGACUCAGGCAACCAAGCCGCCUUCAAUCUAUUAAACCCCCUGCAGGAUAUCUACCUCAGAUCUUCAUCCACUCGUUGCCAGAUUGUUGUUUCAACCAACCUGGUAGUGACUGCUCUUGGCUGCUCUGUUGAGUUAUUUAAGAGAUGUAGAUUAAUUGUUUUUUUUUUCAUUUCCUAUGAUCCUUUCUUUGCGUCCUUGCAGUCAUCCAUCCUCCCGGUUCUCCAGUCUGUCUGCCGUUCCCUCCGCCUGGAUUUCCCUGCCAUUCCUUGACCGUCUCCAUAGCUGUUCAUCUGGCAAUAAAUAAGUUCCCCCUGUACUUCCUGGUCUGCCUGCAUUUGGGUCCGCCACCACAUAUCAUAACAACAGCUUUCUUAUAAUUCUCAUAGUUAGUUUUUUAUCAAUAAUAAUUAUCAAUAUGUAUCAUAAUUCUUUUUUCAAUUAGCCUAUUUUCUCAUUGCACAGCUCCCGUCUUUCUCUGUUUGCUAGCUUGUUCUAAAGAGAGCUUUUAUCCAAUCAGAUUCCGCCCGUGUCUCCAUGUAAGAAAGGCCUGAGGUCCUUUGGGGAGACUUUACACAUUAAAGUGCACAGGGACGGUGUUGUUCAUUGUCAUUGUCAUCAACCAAUGAGUUCUUUAGUUUGACAUAAACGUGGCGCAAGAGUAACUUCUGUCAAACAGAAAGCUAGCUAGCAUCUUAGUAUUUAAGGAAGAACUUGCGUUUUUUUACAUCCGCAGUCGUAUUUUUAUUUGUCCCUUGUGUUGUUUUUUUAAUGUAGUUAAUAUUGUUCCCUCUGAUGUAAAUAAUAUUUGAAUGGCCGGUGCUCCCGAGUAUUUCAGGUCCGCAUUUUUGAUGGCUAUAUUUCUCAUGCUUUGUAGUGAAUAAAUGUGACUGGUGCUUGUGAGUUAAUUACAUUGAUUUGUAUAUAUGCAUUGUCCGUUACACUGCAUCCCGUUAUGCGUGUAUUCAUGCAUCUACUUUUAAUGUUACAGUGUUAUGGGAAUAUGAGGUGUUUACAAAGAACAAAUGAAAAUCUGUAACUGUGGCGUCAUAAUGAGAUUAUUGGGUUAUUCAACUGUAAUAAAUGUAAUAAUACGAACAGUGCAUCCGUUUCUAGAUACUGGCUACUUGGGCAGGAAAAGAACAUCAAUGAUAUGUAAUGAAGUGCUGAAUGUGUAGAGGUUGUGUGUGAAACGGCGAGUGCAACAUUUGAUUUUACUGAUCACCUUUGUCCUGAGAAGAGGAACAAUCGGGCCAAUCAGGCUUCAGCUGGAAUACAAAAAUCCGAACAGCGUUUGCCCUCUUCAGCCCACGGAUGAAUACCACUGAUUACAUCUGCUUCCCCCUCAUCUGUUCCCCUUCAAUUGUCUCUGUAAGUGUAACUUCAACAUUCCCAUUUAUCCACAGAAACAGGAAUGUUUCUGCUUCUGGUGUGCAGCACUCACUUGUUUGGAAAACUUAAACAAUGUUUUGUCUUAGUCAUAGUAGUCAUAUUGCCUGAGAACGGCGUAACGUGUGUGUGACCUCCCAGCAGAGAAACCUUGAUGUAUAACUGUGUGUGAUCUCAACUGAUACGCAGACCUUGGCGAAGCCUUGAUAAAUGUCUUGUGUGCAUAUGUCGUCAUUUCGGAGACUAAGAUGCAGACCUUCAACCUUGACGCAUAACUUAUGUGUGUGUGUGUCAUCUCAACUUUGGAGGCCGAGACCGUGAUGAGAGCAGCAGAUGGACGCACGUCUCUGUACAUAUUUCUACUCUGCUCUUACCUGCAAGUAUUUUGAUAAAAGUUCUGUUUAGGGAUUUUUCAACUGGGGUCGAGUGAGAUUUUUCUAACACGAUUGUAAGAGUUCUCUAAUAUCGGUCAUGUCAUCUCAUCGCCAUGCGGCGGAAACAGAACACGUAGAUAAUGGGAGAGCCAAUUAGCGCCCCCUAACCCCCCCCCGGCCCCUCCAUUUCCUCACGGAGAACUCAUUAGCUCUCGCAGAAAAGGACUCGACCGAUGUCGACGGGAGCUGAUGGAUGAGCUCUGCACUCUGCAGGGGGUCACUGUCAGUGCAGAGCGAGGUAGAGGACAGCAGAGAGUAAAUGCACCAUUACCAGCUAGAGCAGAUAGAGCUGACGGGUAAACCUCUCUAGUAACUACAGUGUUUAUUUCAAGUAAAACGAGUGGAUGUUAUACUGUAUGUUGAACUGUGACCUUUGGAGGAAGACUGCAUGCAAGUACACGGCGAAGGAAACCAUGUAGGAUUUAAUAUCCUUUAAGGAAGGGAAUAUAUUCCACACUUUUGUUGCACCUCAGAGAUACUCACACAUACACACGGCGUGUUCAGGUGGCUAACGCUAACCGAGCCAUUUCUCUGCUUAAGAGAAAACCUCCGCCGGGCACCUUGAAGCUGCACUGGCGGGUGCCGACACAGCAGCAAACAAACACUCAUUUCUCGCCUUUUAGUAUUAUUUUUUUUACUUUAAAAUACACAAUCUGAAUUCCAUUUCUGAAGUAACCAAAUCUACAGGAUUCUCAAGUAAAAGCAGGUUUACCAGCCUGCCCAAGGACACUCAGACGUGAGUCUCGCUAACAGAGCAAAAUGCAGCGAGAGACAAAAAGAAAUGUGGGUUUGCACAUUAGUGGGUUGUUUUCUCGGUGAAACAUUGGGGACAAGAGCAAAUUCCUCCAAAGGCAAAACAGCACGCUUUGCCUUUGGAGGAAUCGGCGCCCCGCAGGAGCCGUUUCAUCUGCCGUGACACGGAGCCGAUUGGAAAAAAGUUAAAAGUUUCCCUUUCAUCUCUCCCUCGUCCUCCUCCUCAUCUGACAGCAGGUGUGUGUGUGUGUGUGUGUGUGUGUCUCAGAAUCGCACUGAACUCUAAUGCAGCAGAUCAUUCUCAUAACUCCUUCGAAUGUUCAGUUUUCACUGUGAGUCUCCCGUUUGAUUUGGCCUCCCCCAAUUACCUCAGAGAGAGCGUAUUAAUAAAUGAAUGCAGAGGCCACACCCACCAAAGAGAGAGAGGAGGUAGAGGAAGAGGAGACGAAGGAGGGAAGGAAACAAACGAGUGUAGUCAUAACACUGCCGAGAGCAAGAAAGAGAGGCUGUGUGUGUGUGUGUGUGUGUGUGUGUGUGUGUGUGUGUAUUGUUUCCUGGCAGUUGUGGAUCUGUGUGUAAGAAUGUACAACCACGGUGUGAAAUAGUACUGUUUUUCGGACUUAUUAUUAUUUUGACUGUGCACAAGUUUAUAUUCUUCUCCCUGCGUGUGUGUCUGUGUGUGCUCUGUUAAACUUAAAAGGUGUUUGUGUGCCUCCGUCGGAGUCUGCAUACUUCUCUCUCAGUGUGCGUGUUUGUAUUAGUUCUCCCUGAUAAUGAGUGUUUGUGUACGACUGCAUUUCUCUCUGUGUGUCUACGGUGUGUGUCUCUGCACCUGUAUGGUGAUUCCUCUCGAGUGCAAAAGUUGUUUGUUUGCUUCAGCUGGCAACACAAAUCAGGGGAGUGGUUGAACAGGACAACAACUGAAUCUCGGCAACAAAAAGACACAGUCCCCCGGCAUCUCAUUUUCAGGCAUACUUGUUAACGCGUGUCACGUUGUGCUGUAAACAAGAGUGUGUGUGUGUGUGUGUCUGCAGUAUCACAGUACCACAGCCCGAGGGGGGCAUAGACCUGAUUAGGGGUGAGUGUUGCGAUGCCGUUCUCGGGGUCCGGACCUCCUUCUGAACGACCCGUGCACGGGAAGUCCUCUGCCAUUGCCAGGGUAACUGGCCCAGGGGGGGGGGUAACAGAUGGGAGGAAGGGGAUUGAGGAGGUGCAGGUAUCAUCAUAAAAUGUUGAAUUUAAAUGCUUAUAUAUGUAUUUAUUCAUGUUGGUUAGUGUUCCGUAUGGACCCUGGUCCUGAGUCCUGCCGGGCCCUGCUUCUUAUAACACCAUUAUUAUCCCAUUACUAUUGCUGUAAACAUUAAUGCGCAUCAUUAACUUUGUUUCUUCCACAGAGCGCGUUUUCUCGCCUCACAGGUUUCCAUGGAUCAUGGUUCUAUCUGGACCCUGUUCCUGCCUUCGGCCAUGGCCCUGCUGACUCCUGCUGCUACUAUCAUCAUUAUUAUUCUAAAUAUUAAUCAAAUUACUAUUACUGCCAUCACAAACCAACAUUACCCACUUUGAUUUUUUCCUGAAAUCUUCUGCAGAUGGUGGUUCUGUCUGCAGUGGUCCUGCCGUACACCUGACUUAAUACUAACAUACUAACGGCCUUUUUUCCUCAAAGGGUUUUUUCUUUUCUGAGGGGCGUUUGUUUUUUUUGCCCAUGGUAAACAGUCUCCUUCUUUAUCGAACAUAUUUUGAAGCCUCAAAUUGACCCGCAUCAGAAUGAUCCCGAUCAUCACUUUACUGCAGCAGGACAGCGUGACACGCAUUUAGAAUUUGGGGGUAAAGUGAGCACUGGUACUAGAUCAGCUAUCGUGUCAGAAAUGCUAUUGAAAUAAAAAAAAGACAAAUGGAUGCUUCCCUAUUUACAGACAUACGAGAUCUAUCCUUUGGCGCCAUCUGGUCUGGAUCAAAUGUUUUGCGCCAUUUGUAGUAAAUGACUGGUUUUGUUGGUCGUCGUUCCUCCACUAAAAACUACUACUCGUACUACCUGACUGGGAUGAGAGUUAACUAUUAACUACUAAGCAUGGGUCACAUGGUUUAUGUCCUCGAAACGUGUUUCUCUGAUAUAGCAGGAACACCGGGGAUGUAAAGAUGGGAGAACUGGCACAGACCUUCCCGCCCUUGGUUACCAGCCAGCAACUCAUCCCGCUUCCUCUCCAGCUGGAGGCCGCUUCACAGCGGACGGCACCAGGCGGAGAACUCUCGACGGCCGACACCACAGGAAACCCGAGGAUCGGGUAAAUCCAGCAGAUGGUCCACGGGUCCGGCUCUGAGCUCAAACAUGACGUUUGUUCAGAGCAAAGAACCAUGCCUUUGGAGGGAGGCUGCCAGUGUGUCUGACGCGGUAAAUUUCUCGCUAUAUUUUGAUUUGGUUGAAUAGUCCUGGCAGCCGCUUUCGUUGAAAAAGAGUUGGCAACAUCGGGCCGAAACA
This is a long non-coding RNA of Gasterosteus aculeatus aculeatus (three-spined stickleback), 10734 nucleotides long. The record is from Ensembl. Lineage: Eukaryota; Metazoa; Chordata; Actinopteri; Perciformes; Gasterosteidae.